AUUGAACGCUGGCGGCAGGCCUAACACAUGCAAGUCGAACGAGUGGCGGACGGGUGAGUAAUGUCUGGGAAAAUGCCCGAUGGAGGGGGAUAACUACUGGAAACUGUAGCUAAUACCGCAUACAAUCGGAUGUUCCCAGAUGGGAUUAGCUAUUAGGUGGGGUAACGGCGCACCUAGGCGACUAUCCCUAGAUGGUCUGAGAGGAUGACCAGGCCCACUGGAACUGAGACACGGUCCAGACUCCUACGGGAGGCAGCAGUGGGGAAUAUUGCACAAUGGGCGCAAGCCUGAUGCAGCCAUGCCGCGUGUAUGAAGCAGGCCUUCGGGUUGUAAAGUACUUGCCGCGAGGAGGCGUUACUCGCAGAAGAAGCACCGGCUAACUCCGUGCCAGCAGCCGCGGUAAUUC
Molecule: ribosomal RNA, 406 nt
Filed under: uncultured bacterium
Lineage: Bacteria
Description: partial 16S ribosomal RNA
Rfam family: Bacterial small subunit ribosomal RNA
Source: RNAcentral